This 522-nucleotide ribosomal RNA is filed under the name uncultured bacterium. RNAcentral's name for it is "bacterial SSU rRNA". It matches the Rfam family "Bacterial small subunit ribosomal RNA", at positions 9 to 526 of the family's 1533-position model. The record is from RNAcentral.
GAGUUUGAUCCUGGCUCAGGAUGAACGCUGGCGGCGUGCUUAACACAUGCAAGUCGAACGGGAAAUAUUUCAUUGAGACUUCGGUGGAUUUGAUCUAUUUCUAGUGGCGGACGGGUGAGUAACGCGUGGGUAACCUGCCUUAUACAGGGGGAUAACAGUCAGAAAUGGCUGCUAAUACCGCAUAAGCGCACGAGAGGACAUCCUCUUGUGUGAAAAACUCCGGUGGUACAGGAUGGGCCCGCGUCUGAUUAGCUGGUUGGUGAGGUAACGGCUCACCAAGGCGACGAUCAGUAGCCGGCUUGAGAGAGUGAACGGCCACAUUGGGACUGAGACACGGCCCAAACUCCUACGGGAGGCAGCAGUGGGGAAUAUUGGGCAAUGGGCGAAAGCCUGACCCAGCAACGCCGCGUGGGGGAAUGAAGGUCUUCGGAUUGUAAACCCCUGUCAUGUGGGAGCAAAUUAAAAAGAUAGUACCACAAGAGGAAGAGACGGCUAACUCUGUGCCAGCAGCCGCGGUAAUAC